RNAcentral lists this transfer RNA (83 nucleotides) under Solirubrobacteraceae bacterium. Its description in RNAcentral is "tRNA-Leu". It matches the Rfam family "tRNA". Rfam says of the family: Transfer RNA (tRNA) molecules are approximately 80 nucleotides in length. Their secondary structure includes four short double-helical elements and three loops (D, anti-codon, and T loops). Further hydrogen bonds mediate the characteristic L-shaped molecular structure. tRNAs have two regions of fundamental functional importance: the anti-codon, which is responsible for specific mRNA codon recognition, and the 3' end, to which the tRNAs corresponding amino acid is attached (by aminoacyl-tRNA synthetases). tRNAs cope with the degeneracy of the genetic code in two manners: having more than one tRNA (with a specific anti-codon) for a particular amino acid; and 'wobble' base-pairing, i.e. permitting non-standard base-pairing at the 3rd anti-codon position. Lineage: Bacteria; Bacillati; Actinomycetota; Thermoleophilia; Solirubrobacterales; Solirubrobacteraceae. The record is from RNAcentral. RNAcentral also lists the same sequence under 1 other name.
GCGGCGGUGGAGGAACGGCAGACUCGAUGGCCUCAAAAGCCAUUGCCCGAGAGGGCGUGUGGGUUCGAAUCCCACCCGCCGCA